GGCCCCUUGGCGGAAUGGCAGACGCAGGGGAUUUAAAAUCCCUCGCCCUUUGGGCAUCCCGGUUCGAGUCCGGGAGGGGCUACCA
RNAcentral lists this transfer RNA (85 nucleotides) under Polyangiaceae bacterium. Its description in RNAcentral is "tRNA-Leu". It matches the Rfam family "tRNA". Rfam says of the family: Transfer RNA (tRNA) molecules are approximately 80 nucleotides in length. Lineage: Bacteria; Pseudomonadati; Myxococcota; Polyangiales; Polyangiaceae. The record is from RNAcentral.